This is a non-coding RNA of Myotis brandtii (Brandt's bat), 76 nucleotides long. The record is from Rfam. Lineage: Eukaryota; Metazoa; Chordata; Mammalia; Chiroptera; Vespertilionidae.
AGCUGUUUCUCAGGUGAUGCACCUCAGAAUCGGGCUCCCUUCUCCCUGGUUCCAGGUGCAUCACCCAAGAACCGCA